This 402-nucleotide ribosomal RNA is filed under the name uncultured bacterium. RNAcentral describes it as "bacterial SSU rRNA". It matches the Rfam family "Bacterial small subunit ribosomal RNA", at positions 355 to 774 of the family's 1533-position model. The record is from RNAcentral.
AGGGGAAUAUUGGACAAUGGGCGAAAGCCUGAUCCAGCCAUGCCGCGUGAGUGAUGAAGGCCCUAGGGUUGUAAAGCUCUUUUGUGCGGGAAGAUAAUGACGGUACCGCAAGAAUAAGCCCCGGCUAACUUCGUGCCAGCAGCCGCGGUAAUACGAAGGGGGCUAGCGUUGCUCGGAAUCACUGGGCGUAAAGGGUGCGUAGGCGGGUUUCUAAGUCAGAGGUGAAAGCCUGGAGCUCAACUCCAGAACUGCCUUUGAUACUGGAAGUCUUGAGUUCGGGAGAGGUGAGUGGAACUGCGAGGGUAGAGGUGAAAUUCGUAGAUAUUCGCAAGAACACCAGUGGCGAAGGCGGCUCACUGGCCCGAUACUGACGCUGAGGCACGAAAGCGUGGGGAGCAAACA